This is a long non-coding RNA of Lemur catta (Ring-tailed lemur), 276 nucleotides long. RefSeq lists it as uncharacterized. The record is from RefSeq and is a predicted model, not a curated record. NCBI's taxonomy places the organism in Eukaryota, Metazoa, Chordata, Mammalia, Primates, Lemuridae. The transcript has 3 exons.
GUCCUCCUCAUCAGAUGAAAAGAAAACCACAUUAGAGUUUGCAGAACGGAGUAGCCAACUGUCAAACUGAGCCCUGAGAAAACAUGGAACUGCUGAAAACCCACACUGCCUUAUCUCUUCCUAAGAACCAAUGUGUGAAGAGCUACGUCAUCUUGCGACUUCCUCUUACCCAUCACUCCCUCCUCCCUCGGUGAGGUCUUCUCUUAUUGCCCGACCCAUUUUGACCGUCCUCUCCUAUGAAUUCUUAGCACUUAUUUUCAUUGCCACUUAUUUGGA